UUUUUUGAUAAUAUUUUAAGAUUAGUUCUGCUCAAUGAUUAUAAGAAAUUAAAUAGCCGCAGUAUUUUGACUGUGCUAAGGUAGCAUAAUCAAUUGUUUUUUAAAUGAAAACUAGAAUAAAGGAAUAAAUGAAAUUAAAGCUGUUUCAAGUUUAAAAUUAUAAUUUAUAUUUUGAGUUAAAAUUCUUAAAUGAGUUUAUGGGACGAGAAGACCCUAUUGAAUUUGAUAAAAAUUUUUUAAAGAUUAAUUUUAGUAUGAUUUAGUUAAUUUAAAAAUUUUAUUUUAUUGGGAGGAUAGUUAAAUUUGAAAAACUUUAAUGAAAAUUAUAAUAACAUUAAUUUAUGAUUUAAUAGAAUAAUUUUAUUAAUGUAAUUAAAAUUAUUAUGAGAAUUAAUUACCUUAGGGAUAACAGCGUAAUAUUUUUAUAAAGUUCUUAUUGAUAAAAAUGUUUGCGACCUCGAUGUUGAAUUAAAAUAAAAAUUAAAUGAAAAAGUUUAAUAUUUUAGUCUGUUCGACUAUUAAAAUUUUACGUGAUCUGAGUUCA
This 544-nucleotide ribosomal RNA is filed under the name Paratrechina longicornis. Its description in RNAcentral is "partial 16S ribosomal RNA". The stretch from base 405 to 544 matches the Rfam family "Archaeal large subunit ribosomal RNA", at positions 2542 to 2682 of the family's 2987-position model. Lineage: Eukaryota; Metazoa; Arthropoda; Insecta; Hymenoptera; Formicidae. The record is from RNAcentral.